UAGGGAAUCUUCCGCAAUGGGCGAAAGCCUGACGGAGCAACGCCGCGUGAGUGAUGAAGGUCUUCGGAUCGUAAAACUCUGUUAUUAGGGAAGAACAAAUGUGUAAGUAACUAUGCACGUCUUGACGGUACCUAAUCAGAAAGCCACGGCUAACUACGUGCCAGCAGCCUCGGUAAUACGUAGGUGGCAAGCGUUAUCCGGAAUUAUUGGGCGUAAAGCGCGCGUAGGCGGUUUUUUAAGUCUGAUGUGAAAGCCCACGGCUCAACCGUGGAGGGUCAUUGGAAACUGGAAAACUUGAGUGCAGAAGAGGAAAGUGGAAUUCCAUGUGUAGCGGUGGAAUGCGCAGAGAUAUGGAGGAACACCAGUGGCGAAGGCGACUUUCUGGUCUGUAACUGACGCUGAUGUGCGAAAGCGUGGGGAUCAAACAGG
Molecule: ribosomal RNA, 429 nt
Filed under: Actinomycetes bacterium
Lineage: Bacteria; Bacillati; Actinomycetota; Actinomycetes
Description: Actinobacteria bacterium partial 16S ribosomal RNA
Rfam family: Bacterial small subunit ribosomal RNA
Source: RNAcentral